Molecule: ribosomal RNA, 264 nt
Filed under: uncultured bacterium
Lineage: Bacteria
Description: partial 16S ribosomal RNA
Rfam family: Bacterial small subunit ribosomal RNA
Source: RNAcentral
AUUGAACGCUGGCGGCAUGCCUUACACAUGCAAGUCGAACGGCAGCACGGGGGCAAUCCUGGUGGCGAGUGGCGAACGGGUGAGUAACAUAUCGGAACGUGCCCUGGAGGUGGGGAUAACUAGUCGAAAGACUAGCUAAUACCGCAUACGAUCUACGGAUGAAAGGUGGGGGAUCGCAAGACCUCAUGCUCGUGGAGCGGCCGAUAUCUGANAGCUAGUUGGUAGGGGUAAAGGCCUACCAAGGCAUCGAUCAGUAGCUGGUCU